AGAACUUUCACAUAACAUUUUGAUGGACGAGGGUAGUGAUAAACGUGGUUUGGGACUGGACUCAAGUGGAGUUUUCGCCCCGACCAACAUUUUAUCGACCUCAGAAUAGCAGAGCAGAUAGCAAGGGUAUCUUAUGACCAGCAGAAAGCAUGCUAACUUCUCUGUUCGCAUUUGGAACUGUACUUCAUGCUUGUUUUGGGUAGGAUUUUUUUCAAGUUCGCGGAUAAUCAGUGGAGGAAAACUUAAGCUAGAUUUAUUUGUAUUUAUUUUGAAAAGUCAAAGUCACUAUGUUGGGGAAUGAGGGGAUCUAUGCAGCGAAGAAGAGGAAGAAACCCGUCCAGAAAAGUCUGAAGCCUGCUCCAGGUGACGGUGUGAGAAAGACCGUCUGAAUGGGGAGCUGGACCGGCUGACCGGCCUGCUGCCCUUCUCCCCAGAGGUCAGGGGUCGGCUGGAUAAAUUGUUCGUCCUGCGGCUCAGUGUGGGAUACGUCAAGGUCAAGAGCUUCUUCAUGGGGGAAAGUAAAUGUGGACUGUUCCAGCAUCUUCAAAAAAACACAAUCCUUUUUUCAGUUACAUUUUCAUUGACAUUAGAUUAGUCCAGUUACAAUCGCCAUCGCCACGGCAUUGUCCAUUAGCUGUUAUAAAGAGGUACUAUUUUUUCAUGUUCCAUAUUUUUGGGCCGUGGCUGCAUUGAUUUUGCCUUGGCGCAGCGCCCCCCUCAGUGGGAACUGGAGGAACGGACGGACAGCCACUUCUAUAGACGGAGUCAGCCUCUCCGAGGGAAACCUACUGCUGCAGGUAUACAGGGUAUAGUGUGUGUGUGUGUAGGGUGUUUCUGGAUCAAAAAGGGGUUUAGGUGGUGGGUGUGACAGGGGGCGUGGCAAUGAGCGCAGUUGGCCAGUCUGCACAGCUAAAUUGUAGAGAAUUGUAGAGGCGCCCAUCUUGGCUGCGUAGAGAAAUCUUUGCAUUUUAAAGCACAUUUCCUACAAUUCUACACAUUUGCCAUGCAGCUGAGAGAAAAUGUCCCAGUUUUAAAGCAAAUUUCCUGUAAUUCUACAUAUUCUGCCAUGGAGCUGAGAGAGGAUUUUGCAGUUUUUAAAGGUAGUUUCCUGCAAUUCUAUGCAUUUUGUCAUGGCUAAUGCUGUGUUCUUUUGCUCAAACAUUAUAACAAAAUUAA
Molecule: long non-coding RNA, 1176 nt
Organism: Coregonus clupeaformis (lake whitefish)
Lineage: Eukaryota; Metazoa; Chordata; Actinopteri; Salmoniformes; Salmonidae
Exons: 3
Source: RefSeq, a predicted model, not a curated record